GUGAGACCAAGAACCCACCAAUUCCGGACACAGAAUGACACAGAGAUUAGCAUGGCUCCUCCACAAGGAUGACACGCACCUUCACGAAGCAUUCCAUUUUUUC
Small nuclear RNA from Pan paniscus (pygmy chimpanzee), 103 nucleotides. Lineage: Eukaryota; Metazoa; Chordata; Mammalia; Primates; Hominidae. The record is from Ensembl.